UGCCAGCAGCCGCGGUAAUACGGAGGGUGCAAGCGUUAAUCGGAAUUACCGGGCGUAAAGCGCGUGUAGGUGGAUUGUUAAGUCAGAUGUGAAAGCCCCGGGCUCAACCUGGGAAUUGCAUUUGAUACUGGCAAUCUAGAGUAUGGUAGAGGGUAGUGGAAUUCCUGGUGUAGCAGUGAAAUGCGUAGAUAUCAGGAGGAACAUCAGUGGCGAAGGCGACUACCUGGACCAAUACUGACACUCAGACGCGAAAGCGUGGGUAGCGAACGGGAUUAGAUA
RNAcentral lists this ribosomal RNA (279 nucleotides) under uncultured bacterium. RNAcentral's name for it is "partial 16S ribosomal RNA". It matches the Rfam family "Bacterial small subunit ribosomal RNA", at positions 506 to 784 of the family's 1533-position model. The record is from RNAcentral.